UACGGGGGGAGCAAGCGUUGUUCGGAUUUACUGGGCGUAAAGGGCGCGUAGGCGGUCGUGACAAGUCACUUGUGAAAUCUCCGGGCUUAACUCGGAAAGGUCAACUGAUACUGCGGGGCUAGAGUGCGGAAGGGGCAACUGGAAUUCUCGGUGUAGCGGUGAAAUGCGUAGAUAUCGAGAGGAACACCUGCGGCGAAGGCGGGUUGCUGGGCCG
This 214-nucleotide ribosomal RNA is filed under the name uncultured bacterium. Its description in RNAcentral is "partial 16S ribosomal RNA". It matches the Rfam family "Bacterial small subunit ribosomal RNA", at positions 524 to 736 of the family's 1533-position model. The record is from RNAcentral.